Molecule: unclassified non-coding RNA, 281 nt
Filed under: Hevea brasiliensis (rubber tree)
Lineage: Eukaryota; Viridiplantae; Streptophyta; Magnoliopsida; Malpighiales; Euphorbiaceae
Source: RNAcentral
AUUAGCAUGCGAAUGUACAAAUAUAAAAAUUUCCAACUUUGCUGAUUGUUUCUUUCUAAAAUCAAAACUCUUAAAAAUUAUUUUUUAAAGUGCAUAAAAACUUUUGAACAUAAAAUAAAUAAAUAAUAAUUGGAGAAGCAUUUAGGCUAGACGAAGUAUCUUAUUUUUGAGUUCGCUAAAGUACUUUUUCCCCGCUUAACGGAUCGUUGUCUUUGAUGUUUCUCUUCUUUAGCUUCCAUCUAUUAUCCCUAUGCACUGUGCUUUGUACAUUUUAUUCUGAU